GAGUUUGAUCGUGGCUCAGAUUGAACGCUGGCAGCAUGCCUUACACAUGCAAGUCGAACGGCAGCAUGAUCUAGCUUGCUAGAUUGAUGGCGAGUGGCGAACGGGUGAGUAAUACAUCGGAACGUGCCCUGUAGUGGGGGAUAACUAGUCGAAAGACUAGCUAAUACCGCAUACGACCUGAGGGUGAAAGUGGGGGACCGCAAGGCCUCAUGCUAUAGGAGCGGCCGAUGUCUGAUUAGCUAGUUGGUGGGGUAAAGGCCCACCAAGGCGACGAUCAGUAGCUGGUCUGAGAGGACGAUCAGCCACACUGGGACUGAGACACGGCCCAGACUCCUACGGGAGGCAGCAGUGGGGAAUUUUGGACAAUGGGCGAAAGCCUGAUCCAGCAAUGCCGCGUGUGUGAAGAAGG
This 409-nucleotide ribosomal RNA is filed under the name uncultured microorganism. RNAcentral describes it as "bacterial SSU rRNA". It matches the Rfam family "Bacterial small subunit ribosomal RNA", at positions 9 to 414 of the family's 1533-position model. The record is from RNAcentral.